GAUGAAGAACGUAGCGAAAUGCGAUACGUAAUGUGAAUUGCAAAUUCAGUGAAUCAUCGAGUCUUUGAACGCACAUUGCGCCCCCUGGUAUUCCGGGGGGCAUGCCUGUCCGAGCGUCAUUGCUGCCCUCAAGCACGGCUUGUGUGUUGGGCCCCGUCCUCCGAUCCCGGGGGACGGGCCCGAAAGGCAGCGGCGGCACCGCGUCCGGUCCUCGAGCGUAUGGGGCUUUGUCACCCGCUCUGUAGGCCCGGCCGGCGCUUGCCGAUCAACCCAAAUUUUUAUCCAGGUUGACCUCGGAUCAGGUAGCGAUACCCGCUGAACUUAAGCAUAUCAAUAAGCGGAGGA
Molecule: unclassified non-coding RNA, 345 nt
Filed under: soil metagenome
Description: partial contains 5.8S ribosomal RNA, internal transcribed spacer 2, and large subunit ribosomal RNA
Rfam family: 5.8S ribosomal RNA (bases 1-119)
Source: RNAcentral